UACGAAGGAUCCGAGCGUUGUCCGGAAUUAUUGGGCGUAAAGGGCUCGUAGGCGGUUUGUCACGUCGGGAGUGAAAACUCAGGGCUCAACCCUGAGCGUGCUUCCGAUACGGGCAGACUAGAGGUAUGCAGGGGAGAACGGAAUUCCUGGUGUAGCGGUGGAAUGCGCAGAUAUCAGGAGGAACACCGGUGGCGAAGGCGGUUCUCUGGGCAUUACCUGACGCUGAGGAGCGAAAGCAUGGGGAGCGAACAGG
RNAcentral lists this ribosomal RNA (253 nucleotides) under uncultured bacterium. RNAcentral's name for it is "partial 16S ribosomal RNA". It matches the Rfam family "Bacterial small subunit ribosomal RNA", at positions 524 to 776 of the family's 1533-position model. The record is from RNAcentral.